Molecule: long non-coding RNA, 1979 nt
Organism: Ricinus communis (castor bean)
Lineage: Eukaryota; Viridiplantae; Streptophyta; Magnoliopsida; Malpighiales; Euphorbiaceae
Exons: 2
Source: RefSeq, a predicted model, not a curated record
GUAGAGAAAUGAAAAUUAAAUAGAAAGGAAAGAAAGGUACACCCACCCAAACAUUUAAAGUGCUUAUUUUUGUUAUAUUUCAAAUUGGAGGGUAAGAAAGGGAAAGGGAGUCAUACAACUGUUUAAUUUUAUUUUUUUUUCCAGUUUUAUCAUUAUGUAAAAAAGAUAAAUCUAUUAAAUGCUCUUUAUUUAUUAUAAUCUCACCAAUCAUACCAACCUCAUUAUCUUCAACUAUAUCUUUGCCCCAUACGGUUUUCGCAACAGAGUUUUUUUCAUUCAUCUUUCUCUACCGAGAUUUGUAAUGUUAUUUAUUUUAUUUUAUUAUUUUAAUAGUGUUAAUCUUAUUGUUUUUACUUUAUAUUAUAGGUUGUAUUGUAACUACUUUUAUUUUAUCUUUGUUGCUUAUUGAUGUACGUAAUACUGUUUUACUUUUAUUUUAUUUUAUUUAUUUUUAUUUUAUCUUUAAUUAAAUAAAUUUAUUUAUUCACAUUUGUGAUUUUGUUGGAGAUAAUUACUUGUGUUAAUUGCAUACAGUCAAUUUAAUAAGAAUAAAAUUAUUAUGCGCCUAUGAACAGUCAAGUAAAUAGUGCAAUUGAAGGGUGAUUUUGCAAUUAUUUGGUCAUUUGUGCCCCUUUCUCAAUCGUUGCCAGUGCAUUUACUUUUACACUCUGCUACUCUUGCAAAUAGUGAGUAAAAACGACGCCAUUUUAUGAAAUUGUCGUUUCACAACUUAUUAUAAGAAGUUACUUUACUGUCCUUAUGCACAUGCUUGCUCUCCCUAAAAUGCCCCCGUUUUAUGUAUCUCUAGAAGGUAUUUUACAAUACCCAUAUAUCACUAGCCUAAAUCAAUUCUCUUCUUAUCUACCAACUACCUUCUCUUAUGUCGCUCCUUCACAAACUCUAGAUUUCUUCAGUCAAGCUGAUUUCUUCAUUCAUUUUCUAUUCCAUUGAUAAGAAAAUUGAGUUACUUCAUUUUUUCUUUAUUUUUAUUUUAAGAUUUUGAAAACUCAAAUGGGUUACCUAAUUUUUUAGUUCUUAGAAAGUUUUUCUCCUCAUGUUUACUAGUUGUCAACCAUGUUUUAACAUUAAUUUUUCCUGAAUCCAUGAGUUUAUUUAGUGGUUUUUGUUAUUUUCUUUCUACCUCUUUUAGUUAGAUAUUAAUUUCAGUGUUUUUGCAUUGGCUUCUAUUAUGCGAUUUCAAUCUCUCAUUGGUGCGUGCGUCGGGUAAGUACGAUUUUUUUUUUUUUUUUGUGUUGUAAAAGAAUUUGAUUUCACUUGCUUUCUUUAUAAUGGAACUGACUUUUUGGUCUUGCAGGUGUUCUUUUCUGGUACUUGAUCUAUUCUGCCUUUUGGUCUCUAGUGAAUAUAGAUCUUUUUUUUUUUUUUUUUUAAAGUAACUUAUUGAUCGUUAUUUUGAAGUUUGAAUUGAUUUUCUUAGGUUUUAUUUGUGCCCUUGUUGAUAUUUUAUUUUUUAAAUCUUUGUUUUUGUUUAAAAGUCUAUAUCUUUUGUUUAGGAGAAGAUAAGGCAAAGCAAAAAUAAGUUUUCAAAAAAUUAACUGAUGAUUUAAUGAAUUUGACUAUGAUUUUAUCUUUGUAAUUUUUGUGGGUGGCAGAUCAAUUAUUUAUAGUAAUGAUACUAUUUCAAGAGAGGUGACAGAUCUAUUCCUUAAACAAGAUCAAUAUGAUUUGCACUGAAGGACCUCAUCGAGAUAUAUACGUGCAUUGCGAAAUGAUCUACCCUCAUUAUCUAUAACUUGGCAGAAAACCGUAGAACCAGCCUAAUCAAGCCCUAGAGUUGAUAGACUUUGCAGCACUUUUACCCUAUUUUUUUCGGAUUCUAUUGGAUAUUAGCGACAUUUUAUGUACUAUAACUUAUUUUAUGCCUUUUCCUUUAACUUUUAGUUGUAGGAGUGUUGUAAUAGUUAGAUUUACUUCUUUUUUUGUACUUUAAUUCCUAUAUUGUAUUGAUGGAUGCCAAA